UACAGAGGUCUCAAGCGUUGUUCGGAUUCAUUGGGCGUAAAGAGCUCGUAGGCGGCCUGUCGCGUCGACCGUGAAAACCCGCAGCUCAACUGCGGGCUUGCGGUCGAUACGGGCAGGCUGGAGUUCGGUAGGGGAGACUGGAAUUCCUGGUGUAGCGGUGAAAUGCGCAGAUAUCAGGAGGAACACCGGUGGCGAAGGCGGGUCUCUGGGCCGAUACUGACGCUGAGGAGCGAAAGCGUGGGGAGCGAACAGG
RNAcentral lists this ribosomal RNA (253 nucleotides) under uncultured bacterium. Its description in RNAcentral is "partial 16S ribosomal RNA". It matches the Rfam family "Bacterial small subunit ribosomal RNA", at positions 524 to 776 of the family's 1533-position model. The record is from RNAcentral.